This 322-nucleotide ribosomal RNA is filed under the name Candidatus Anaplasma amazonensis. Its description in RNAcentral is "partial 16S ribosomal RNA". It matches the Rfam family "Bacterial small subunit ribosomal RNA", at positions 127 to 483 of the family's 1533-position model. RNAcentral also lists the same sequence under 1 other name. The record is from RNAcentral. Lineage: Bacteria; Pseudomonadati; Pseudomonadota; Alphaproteobacteria; Rickettsiales; Anaplasmataceae.
UGCCUAGUAGUAUGGGAUAGCCACUAGAAAUGGUGGGUAAUACUGUAUAAUCCCUGCGGGGGAAAGAUUUAUCGCUACUGGAUGAGCCUAUGUUAGAUUAGCUAGUUGGUGGGGUAAUGGCCUACCAAGGCUGUGAUCUAUAGCUGGUCUGAGAGGAUGAUCAGCCACACUGGAACUGAGACACGGUCCAGACUCCUACGGGAGGCAGCAGUGGGGAAUAUUGGACAAUGGGCGCAAGCCUGAUCCAGCUAUGCCGCGUGAGUGAGGAAGGCCUUAGGGUUGUAAAACUCUUUCAGCAGGGAAGAUAAUGACGGUACCUGCA